GAAAUGCGAUAACUAGUGUGAAUUGCAGAAUUCCGUGAAUCAUCGAGUCUUUGAACGCACAUUGCGCCCCCUGGUAUUCCGGGGGGCAUGCCUGUCCGAGCGUCAUUGCUGCCCAUCAAGCACGGCUUGUGUGUUGGGUCGUCGUCCCCUCUCCGGGGGGGACGGGCCCCAAAGGCAGCGGCGGCACCGCGUCCGAUCCUCGAGCGUAUGGGGCUUUGUCACCCGCUCUGUAGGCCCGGCCGGCGCUUGCCGAACGCAAAUCAAUCUUUUUCCAGGUUGACCUCGGAUCAGGUAGGGAUACCCGCUGAACUUGAGC
Molecule: unclassified non-coding RNA, 316 nt
Filed under: plant metagenome
Description: partial contains 5.8S ribosomal RNA, internal transcribed spacer 2, and large subunit ribosomal RNA
Rfam family: 5.8S ribosomal RNA (bases 1-105)
Source: RNAcentral